This 1137-nucleotide long non-coding RNA is filed under the name Phoenix dactylifera (date palm). RNAcentral's name for it is "long non-coding RNA (PDAC_LNC015073)". The record is from RNAcentral. Lineage: Eukaryota; Viridiplantae; Streptophyta; Magnoliopsida; Arecales; Arecaceae.
CUAAUAAACCUUUCUGCAAAUGAGUCACCUUUACUACCUGUUUUCUUACAUUGUGACUGUAAAUCUGCAAUAGAUAAGUGUAACCAAGAAAAUGCCAAUGUAAACAUGAAAAGGCACUUAAAAAUAUGUCAUAAAUUAAGAUACAAAUUGAAAAAUAACAUUAUUGCUUUAAAUUUUGUAAAAUCAGAAAAUAAUUUGGCUGAUCAGCUUACAAAAAGUUUGUCUAAAACAGUAGUUCUAGAGUCAUCGAGGGGGAUAGGGCUUAGCCCAUAAAGAUAGAUCACCACGGUGGGAACCUAACCUUAAAAGGUUCAAUGGGUAGAAACAAACCGGAGUGUGACUAAGAGGAGCACUAUUUUAUGUUUUCCUCAUCCCUAUGGCGCUAGUGCUCAUAAAAGCAAGCGGUAGGAUGAGUUUGUUUAUAUAACUUUUAAUGAGUCCAAGACCCAAGAGGCAGGAGCUUCCUUGCUAGCUUUCUUAUUAUGACUCACCUAUAUAUGUAGUCGUGAGGCAGCGAUUAUGAAAAAUGGGCGAUUCUCUAAAAAAGCACAUGAAAGAUACCUGCGCAUGACCAUAUUAGCGCAACCCGCUUAGAACCCAGAUCAGACUAUAUUAUUUGUGCUGUUGAUUUAAUCUGAGUCAUGGAUCGAGGUUCAAGGUUAAGACUACCUUGGCUCCACAAAUGUAAUCAAUUGUCACUAAAUGAAGGUUCAAAUCGAAAAGUACCUACACCUAUUACAUAAUAUAAGAUAUCCAGCAUUUUGUUUUGAUUUUAAAAUUAUUUAAAAAUUAAUUUUUGGAGGGAUUGUUGAAAAAAUUAAAUGCGCACGCGGGCCAGCUUCCCCCACCUGGACCCCUACAGGAUACUCUAAAGGAGUCGAGUCAUCUCCCGAUGCCACAGAGCAUUUGGGCCCGCCUCUAUCUAGCUUACUCCCAGGGGACCCAAAACACUCACGUCACCAACCACUGGGGGCACGUCCACCUCCUUCCUCUCACGCAAGGAGGCGACUCCUCCAGCCGGCGACCUACCUGGGUCGAUGGUCGCCCCCAUCUCCAAGCAACCCCGGUCAUCCCCUACUCGCGUCUAGUCCCUACCGUCACCCACGCCGUCCAUCACUUGCUAACGAGGAGAGGUGU